Molecule: non-coding RNA, 1916 nt
Organism: Podarcis lilfordi (Lilford's wall lizard)
Lineage: Eukaryota; Metazoa; Chordata; Lepidosauria; Squamata; Lacertidae
Source: the annotation of a GenBank genome assembly
CAUCAUUUUAAAAUACAUAGGAAAAUGGAUAGUCACCGCAAAUAGCAAAUUCCAAGUCCCUCUAGGGGCUCUGCCUACAAUGAGAAUGUUUUGAGUUGUUUAUGUUCAAAAGCAGAGUCCCGAGAGUGAUAUACUGCUAUCAACUCGCUCUGUGCUGUGGCCUUUUAUUGUUGUUUAUAAUGGGCUGAAGAUAUUUUUUCCCCACUUACAUUUUAACUGUAGCUUUGAAGAGCUGUAAGAGAAGAAUUGAGCCUGAAAAUCAGGGUUGGAAGAUUAGGGGUUUUAGGUGGCCUGUUUUGCCUAGAAAACUAUUGGUAAUAUAUAUUAUUAGAAAUUUGCAUUUCCCACCUGAGUGCUACUGAAAAGCCGUAUGAAUCUAUUAGGUGCCGAAUUGCACAUCCUACUUUUCAAAUCGACGCAGCGUUUGCUCGCUAAAAAAAGAGGCUAAAUCCUGUUAUCCCAAGGCAUUAAGGAAAUAUGUCUCUAAUUGUAUUAUUAAAAGGUGUGUUAUUGCUACAAUAAAUCAUAAUGGCCUGCUUUUACACACUGUAUCCUGUAUCCUACAGAGUUGGGUGUGUGUGUUUCUAGUAUGGUAUUGAGAGGAAUGAUGACUGGCAAUGAAGCGUGAAUGGCAAAGAGGAAAGAGCAAAAUGCUUCUUAUGUGGCCUGAUAUGUAACAGCAUGUUAACAAAAUAGUAAUUUUGGAGAGCACAACUGGAAAUGGAAAAGAGUGGGUGAAGGAGAUAUCGGAUGAGUUAAUAAGGAGCUGGUGGGUGACAAUUAAACCCAAAGGAUUUAAUUUUUGCAGUUAGUUUGAAUCCAAAUUGGUGUGUGUGUGUUAAUGUAGGUGUAUAAUACAGAUAGAUUAGAUGAUAGAUAGAUAGAUAGAUAGAUAGAUAGAUAGAUAGAUGACAGACAGACAGAUAGAUAGAUAGAUAGAUAGAUGAUAGACAGAUAGAAACAGUGUCAGCUCACAUUAGCAAUAAUCCAUUGAUCCUAAAUUGAAUAUAUAUUAAGUAGUCCAUAUCUUCCGAUAGAUAUUGAGAUUGUUGAUUAUGAGCUAUAUGUUCAAAUGUAGAGAAGGACAGGAAGAUGUUCAGACCACUGAGCAAUGGAUGGUAGGUUUUUAUCCUUCCAUCCUUGGAGUAGACAUCCCUUUGCAACCAUAAGGGCUUGUAGGAUCCACUUUUGUUACCCAUCUGUUAGUCCCCACAUCACAGGGAUGGGUUGGAUCCUAAAUGAGAUAUCUUUCUGGUGAGUAAGAACAGUUGACAAGUAAGAUGUUUUAAUUUUAAAAAACAGAAUAGAUUGGUGAGAAAAGGGUUGUGUGGGGAAACACAAGGUUAUUGCGUGCAUGGCAACAUCUGUUUUAUAAGAAUUCACCGGAAAAAAUGAAAGGCAAUAAAGUGGAGAUGAGAGUUGUAAAGAUCAUGAUGGGUUACAGUACAUUUCAGCUUAAAAUGAUAUACAGGUAUGCCUGGAGUCCAUUGAGAUAUUAAGUCUGUAUUGAGUUGGUCAGGUGGAAAAUGUGGCGUCUUCCUUGGCUGUGCUCUGAAAAACCAUUCAUCUGGAAAUGCAGAGAACAAGCAGGAAAAACACCAGCAUGGGAUGUGAUGUUCGUUUGUUUUGAUAACAUAUUUCCAGGACAUCCUCUGCCAGUGUAGUUGCAAGGAAGCAGAGGAUUUGAUGGAAACACAGAAGGGGCAAGGGCAAAUUUGUGUGCCAUGUUGGGGUUGCCGGGAGGUCUCAGGGGCCUCAUGUUCCCAUAAGCUAUGUGGCACGUAAGAUGGCAACUAAAGAGCCUCGUGUCACUGAUACACCAAAGUAUGUGCAAGAGAUCACAGAGGUUGCUGUGACAUAGAGACUGGCACAGAUGUAAAACAGCCCAGUCUAGCUACCAGUGGUUGAUCAGGUUA